UACAUGAUUAAGUUAUUAAGGGCGCACGGUGGAUGCCUUGGCACUAGAAGCCGAAGAAGGACGUUACUAACGACGAUAUGCUUUGGGGAGCUGUAAGUACGCUUUGAUCCAGAGAUUUCCGAAUGGGGAAAC
Molecule: ribosomal RNA, 132 nt
Filed under: Mammaliicoccus sciuri
Lineage: Bacteria; Bacillati; Bacillota; Bacilli; Caryophanales; Staphylococcaceae
Description: Staphylococcus sciuri partial 23S ribosomal RNA
Rfam family: Bacterial large subunit ribosomal RNA
Source: RNAcentral